UUGGAGGGCAAGUCUGGUGCCAGCAGUCGCGGUAAUUCCAGCUCCAAUAGCGUAUAUUAAAGUUGUUGCAGUUAAAAAGCUCGUAGUUGAAUUUCGGAGUUUGUCGGUCGGUCGGGCUUCACUGUCCGCACUGGCCUGAUGGAUUUCUUCCUUCUGAAUAACUAGCAUGCUAUUAAGUUAGUGCGUUGGGGAAGCAGAGAUAUUACCUUGAAAAAAUUAGAGUGGUUAAAACAGGGUUAUGCUUGAAUAGAUUAGCAAGGAAUAAUAAAAUAGGACGGCAUGGUUCUAUUUUGUUGGUUUCUAGGAUCGCCGUAAUGAUUAAUAGUGAUAGUUGGGGGCAUUAGUAUUCAAUUGUCAGAGGUGAAAUUCUUGGAUUUAUUGAAGACUAACUUCUGCGAAAGCAUUUGCCAAGGAUGUUUUCAUUAAUCAAGAACGAAAGUUAAGGGAUUGAAGACGAUCAGAUACCGUCGUAGUCUUAACCAUAAACUAUGCCGACUAGGGAUCAGAUGAUGUUAAUUUUGUAAUGACUCAUUCGGCGCCUUACGGGAAAC
RNAcentral lists this ribosomal RNA (551 nucleotides) under uncultured Acaulospora. Its description in RNAcentral is "SSU rRNA". It matches the Rfam family "Eukaryotic small subunit ribosomal RNA", at positions 548 to 1098 of the family's 1831-position model. Lineage: Eukaryota; Fungi; Glomeromycota; Glomeromycetes; Diversisporales; Acaulosporaceae. The record is from RNAcentral.